AGAAUCAACGCUGGCGGCGUGCCUAACACAUGCAAGUCGAACGAGAAAGGGGUAGCAAUACCCUGAGUAAAGUGGCGCACGGGUGAGUAACACGUGACUAACCUACCCUUGAGUGGGGGAUAACUGAGGGAAACCUUAGCUAAUACCGCAUAAUACCCACGGGUCAAAGGAGCAAUUCGCUCGAGGAGGGGUCGCGGCCGAUUAGUUAGUUGGCGGGGUAAUGGCCCACCAAGACGAUGAUCGGUAUCCGGCCUGAGAGGGCGCACGGACACACUGGAACUGAAACACGGUCCAGACUCCUACGGGAGGCAGCAGUGGGGAAUUUUGCGCAAUGGGGAAACCCUGACGCAGCAACGCCGCGUGGAGGAUGAAGUCCUUCGGGACGUAAACUCCUUUCGAUCGGGACGAUUAUGACGGUACCGGAAGAAGAAGCCCGGCUAACUCGUGCCAGCAGCCGC
RNAcentral lists this ribosomal RNA (458 nucleotides) under uncultured bacterium. RNAcentral's name for it is "SSU rRNA". It matches the Rfam family "Bacterial small subunit ribosomal RNA", at positions 26 to 518 of the family's 1533-position model. The record is from RNAcentral.